RNAcentral lists this ribosomal RNA (292 nucleotides) under uncultured bacterium. RNAcentral's name for it is "partial 16S ribosomal RNA". It matches the Rfam family "Bacterial small subunit ribosomal RNA", at positions 505 to 796 of the family's 1533-position model. The record is from RNAcentral.
GUGUCAGCCGCCGCGGUAAUACGUAGGUGACAAGCGUUAUCCGGAAUUACUGGGCGUAAAGCGCACGCAGGCGGCGCAUUAAGUCUGAUGUGAAAUCUCCCGGCUUAACUGGGAGGGGUCAUUGGAAACUGAUGGGCUUGAGGCGGUGAGAGGGGUGUAGAAUUCCCGGUGUAGUGGUGGAAUGCGUAGAUAUCGGGAGGAAUACCAGUGGCGAAAGCGGCACCCUGGCACUAGCCUGACGCUCAUGUGCGAAGGCGUGGGGAGCGAACGGGAUUAGAUACCCCCGUAGUCC